Molecule: ribosomal RNA, 1928 nt
Filed under: saltern metagenome
Description: bacterial LSU rRNA
Rfam family: Bacterial large subunit ribosomal RNA
Source: RNAcentral
CCGCAGAGACCAGGUGGCUGCGACUGUUUAUUAAAAACACAGCACUCUGCAAACACGUAAGUGGACGUAUAGGGUGUGACGCCUGCCCGGUGCCGGAAGGUUAAAUGAUGAGGUUAGCCCUCGGGCGAAGCUUUUGAUUGAAGCCCCGGUAAACGGCGGCCGUAACUAUAAAUACCGUUGUAGUUACGUAAAUAAACUUGGCUAUAUGCUGGAAACUCCGGUGUAUCCUCCGAUACUCGCCAAUUCAUUGGCAGUGACAAUUCGUGAGGUGCGGACAAUCAGCAGGAAAGGCUCUAGCUUUGAUAGUAGAGAAUCCUCAGAGACUACACGCCAAGCCACUUAAAUUCCUAAGUGGAUGAUAUAGUCCGAUCUUUAUGGCGACAUAAAGAACCAGCCGGAAACGAGCUGGUCCAUUUCAAGAAAUUUUGGAAUGCGUAACAUUGCAAGAACGGUCCUAAGGUAGGAUUCGCUGCCUUAGUAAAAUCUGGCCAAUUGCUGGAAACUCCGGUGUAUCCUCCGGUACUCGCCACACAAGGUGGCAGUGACAAUCCGUGAGGUGCGGACAAUCAGCAGGAAAGAUUAUUGAGGAAAUCGCAUGACCUUUAUUCCCCGUAAGAUCCCCCCACACAUUGGUUAUUACCUAGCAGGUUUUGCUGAUGGAGAAGGGAGCUUCAAUGUGUCUUUUCGGAAACGAAAAGAUUACAAAAAUCCAUGGAAAGUUUCUUUGUGUUUCAACGUGUCUCAGAAAGAUCGAGUCAUAUUGGCGCUUUACAAGAAACACUUUCAAUGCGGCACAUUGAGAGAACGGUCUGAUGGGGUUUGGUAUUACGAGGUCAACAAUUUCCGGUCUAUUCAAGAAAACGUCAUUCCUUUCUUCAGAGAAUUUGGUUUUUUGUCGGCUAAAAAGAAACGUGACUUUGCCAAGUUUAGGCAACUCGCGGAACUGAUGGCUGAGGACGAUCACUUAACUGAAGAAGGCAUUCGGCAAAUUUUGAAGAUUCGAAAUCAAAUGAACGAUGGAGGCGCUGGAAGACGUAAGUAUUCCGACGACGACAUCCUCGCUUUGUUUCGUCAAUAAAAUCCUCAGAGACUACACGCCAGACACUCAAGCUUUUAGAGUGAAGAUAUAGUCCCAUCUGCAUGGCGACAUGCAGGGGUAAGGCCCACACGGCUUAUCCAGUUUGGUGUACGUGAGACCAAACUUAAGAUCAUCGAGCGAAAUUCCUUGUCGGGUAAGUUCCGACCUGCACGAAUGGCGUAACGAUGGCCACACUGUCUCCACCCGAGACUCAGUGAAAUUGAAAUUGCGGUUAAGAUGCCGUAUACCCGCGGCUAGACGGAAAGACCCCGUGAACCUUUACUACAGCUUCACAUUGAACUUCGAUUAUUCUUGUGUAGGAUAGGUGGGAGGCUUUGAUACGUAGACGCCAGUUUACGUGGAGCCAUCCUUGAAAUACCACCCUGGUGUAAUUGGAGUUCUAACCCAGGACCGUGAUCCGGUUCGGGAACAAUGUGUGGUGGGUAGUUUGACUGGGGCGGUCUCCUCCCAAAGAGUAACGGAGGAGCACGAAGGUACCCUCAGCACGGUCGGACAUCGUGCAUUGAGUGCAAAGGCACAAGGGUGCUUGACUGCGAGAUCGACGGAUCGAGCAGGUACGAAAGUAGGUCUUAGUGAUCCGGUGGUUCUGUAUGGAAGGGCCAUCGCUCAACGGAUAAAAGGUACUCCGGGGAUAACAGGCUGAUACCGCCCAAGAGUUCAUAUCGACGGCGGUGUUUGGCACCUCGAUGUCGGCUCAUCACAUCCUGGGGCUGAAGUCGGUCCCAAGGGUAUGGCUGUUCGCCAUUUAAAGUGGUACGCGAGCUGGGUUUAGAACGUCGUGAGACAGUUCGGUCCCUAUCUGCCGUGGGCGUUUGAGACUUGAGGGAAG